This is a long non-coding RNA of Ornithodoros turicata, 699 nucleotides long. RefSeq lists it as uncharacterized. The transcript is spliced from 5 exons. The record is from RefSeq and is a predicted model, not a curated record. Lineage: Eukaryota; Metazoa; Arthropoda; Arachnida; Ixodida; Argasidae.
UAUUCUUUUUACUUGACGAAGUGCGUUCGCAGGUGCACAUCGAACGGAAGUCUUCGCAAGAGAUGCGGUGGAUGAAUGCGUGAACGACGACAACGACAGUGUGACUAGGCUACGCGCCCGCCACUGGAGCCCGCUCGCAUUUCAACAAUACAGUCACAACAUCAACAGCUGCGUUCGCAGGUGCACAUCGAACGGAAGUCUUCGCAAGAGAUGCCGUGGAUGAAUGCGUGAACGACGACAACGACAGUGUGACUAGGCUAUGAGCCCGCCACUGGGGCCCGCUCGCAUUUCAACAAUACAGUCACAACAUCAACAGCGUGCACAUCGAACGGAAGUCUUCGCAAGAGAUGCCGUGGAUGAAUGCGUGAACGACGACAACGACAGUGUGACUCGGCUACGAGCCCGCCACUGGAGCCCGCUCGCAUUUCAACAAUACAGUCACAACAUCAACAGCGUGCACAUCGAACGGAAGUCUUCGCAAGAGAUGCCGUGGAUGAAUGCGUGAACGACGACAACGACAGUGUGACUAGGCUACGAGCCCGCCACUGGAGCCCGCUCGCAUUUCAACAAUACAGUCACAACAUCAACAGCGUGCACAUCGAACGGAAGUCUUCGCAAGAGAUGCCGUGGAUGAAUGCGUGAACGACGACAACGACAGUGUGACUAGGCCACGAGCCCGCCACUGGAGCCCGCUCGCAU